GAUGAACGCUGGCGGCGUGCCUAAUACGUGCAAGUCGAGCGAACAGAUGAGGAGCUUGCUCCUCUGACGUUAGCGGCGGACGGGUGAGUAACACGUGGAUAACCUACCUAUAAGACUGGGAUAACUUCGGGAAACCGGAGCUAAUACCGGAUAAUAUAUUGAACCGCAUGGUUCAUAGUGAAAGACGGUUUUGCUGUCACUUAUAGAUGGAUCCGCGCCGCAUUAGCUAGUUGGUAAGGUAACGGCUUACCAAGGCAACGAUGCGUAGCCGACCUGAGAGGGUGAUCGGCCACACUGGAACUGAGACACGGUCCAGACUCCUACGGGAGGCAGCAGUAGGGAAUCUUCCGCAAUGGGCGAAAGCCUGACGGAGCAACGCCGCGUGAGUGAUGAAGGUCUUCGGAUCGUAAAACUCUGUUAUUAGGGAAGAACAAAUGUGUAAGUAACUAUGCACGUCUUGACGGUACCUAAUCAGAAAGCCACGGCUAACUACGUG
Molecule: ribosomal RNA, 496 nt
Filed under: uncultured bacterium
Lineage: Bacteria
Description: partial 16S ribosomal RNA
Rfam family: Bacterial small subunit ribosomal RNA
Source: RNAcentral